Molecule: ribosomal RNA, 2771 nt
Filed under: Klebsiella pneumoniae
Lineage: Bacteria; Pseudomonadati; Pseudomonadota; Gammaproteobacteria; Enterobacterales; Enterobacteriaceae
Description: bacterial LSU rRNA
Rfam family: Bacterial large subunit ribosomal RNA
Source: RNAcentral
AGCGUACACGGUGGAUGCCCUGGCAGUCAGAGGCGAUGAAGGACGUGCUAAUCUGCGAAAAGCGUCGGUAAGGUGAUAUGAACCGUUAUAACCGGCGAUGUCCGAAUGGGGAAACCCAGUGUGAUUCGUCACACUAUCGUUAACUGAAUACAUAGGUUAACGAGGCGAACCGGGGGAACUGAAACAUCUAAGUACCCCGAGGAAAAGAAAUCAACCGAGAUUCCCCCAGUAGCGGCGAGCGAACGGGGAGCAGCCCAGAGUCUGAAUCAGCUUGUGUGUUAGUGGAACGGUCUGGAAAGUCCGACGGUACAGGGUGAUAGUCCCGUACACCAAAAUGCACAGGUUGUGAACUCGAAGAGUAGGGCGGGACACGUGGUAUCCUGUCUGAAUAUGGGGGGACCAUCCUCCAAGGCUAAAUACUCCUGACUGACCGAUAGUGAACCAGUACCGUGAGGGAAAGGCGAAAAGAACCCCGGCGAGGGGAGUGAAAAAGAACCUGAAACCGUGUACGUACAAGCAGUGGGAGCACCUUCGGGUGUGACUGCGUACCUUUUGUAUAAUGGGUCAGCGACUUAUAUUCUGUAGCAAGGUUAACCGUAUAGGGGAGCCGCAGGGAAACCGAGUCUUAACUGGGCGUUAAGUUGCAGGGUAUAGACCCGAAACCCGGUGAUCUAGCCAUGGGCAGGUUGAAGGUUGGGUAACACUAACUGGAGGACCGAACCGACUAAUGUUGAAAAAUUAGCGGAUGACUUGUGGCUGGGGGUGAAAGGCCAAUCAAACCGGGAGAUAGCUGGUUCUCCCCGAAAGCUAUUUAGGUAGCGCCUCGUGAACUCAUCUUCGGGGGUAGAGCACUGUUUCGGCUAGGGGGUCAUCCCGACUUACCAACCCGAUGCAAACUACGAAUACCGAAGAAUGUUAUCACGGGAGACACACGGCGGGUGCUAACGUCCGUCGUGAAGAGGGAAACAACCCAGACCGCCAGCUAAGGUCCCAAAGUCAUGGUUAAGUGGGAAACGAUGUGGGAAGGCACAGACAGCCAGGAUGUUGGCUUAGAAGCAGCCAUCAUUUAAAGAAAGCGUAAUAGCUCACUGGUCGAGUCGGCCUGCGCGGAAGAUGUAACGGGGCUAAACCAUGCACCGAAGCUGCGGCAGCGACACUAUGUGUUGUUGGGUAGGGGAGCGUUCUGUAAGCCUGCGAAGGUGACCUGUGAGGGUUGCUGGAGGUAUCAGAAGUGCGAAUGCUGACAUAAGUAACGAUAAAGCGGGUGAAAAGCCCGCUCGCCGGAAGACCAAGGGUUCCUGUCCAACGUUAAUCGGGGCAGGGUGAGUCGACCCCUAAGGCGAGGCCGAAAGGCGUAGUCGAUGGGAAACAGGUUAAUAUUCCUGUACUUGGUGUUACUGCGAAGGGGGGACGGAGAAGGCUAUGUUAGCCGGGCGACGGUUGUCCCGGUUUAAGCAUGUAGGCUGAUUGUCCAGGCAAAUCCGGAUAAUCAAGGCUGAGGUGUGAUGACGAGGCACUACGGUGCUGAAGUAACAAAUGCCCUGCUUCCAGGAAAAGCCUCUAAGCAUCAGGUAACAUCAAAUCGUACCCCAAACCGACACAGGUGGUCAGGUAGAGAAUACCAAGGCGCUUGAGAGAACUCGGGUGAAGGAACUAGGCAAAAUGGUGCCGUAACUUCGGGAGAAGGCACGCUGGUGUGUAGGUGAAGUCCCUGCGGAUGGAGCUGAGACCAGUCGAAGAUACCAGCUGGCUGCAACUGUUUAUUAAAAACACAGCACUGUGCAAACACGAAAGUGGACGUAUACGGUGUGACGCCUGCCCGGUGCCGGAAGGUUAAUUGAUGGGGUUAUCCGUAAGGAGAAGCUCUUGAUCGAAGCCCCGGUAAACGGCGGCCGUAACUAUAACGGUCCUAAGGUAGCGAAAUUCCUUGUCGGGUAAGUUCCGACCUGCACGAAUGGCGUAAUGAUGGCCAGGCUGUCUCCACCCGAGACUCAGUGAAAUUGAACUCGCUGUGAAGAUGCAGUGUACCCGCGGCAAGACGGAAAGACCCCGUGAACCUUUACUAUAGCUUGACACUGAACAUUGAGCCUUGAUGUGUAGGAUAGGUGGGAGGCUUUGAAGCGUGGACGCCAGUCUGCGUGGAGCCAACCUUGAAAUACCACCCUUUAAUGUUUGAUGUUCUAACGUUGGCCCCUUACCGGGGUUGCGGACAGUGUCUGGUGGGUAGUUUGACUGGGGCGGUCUCCUCCCAAAGCGUAACGGAGGAGCACGAAGGUUAGCUAAUCCUGGUCGGACAUCAGGAGGUUAGUGCAAUGGCAUAAGCUAGCUUGACUGCGAGCGUGACGGCGCGAGCAGGUGCGAAAGCAGGUCAUAGUGAUCCGGUGGUUCUGAAUGGAAGGGCCAUCGCUCAACGGAUAAAAGGUACUCCGGGGAUAACAGGCUGAUACCGCCCAAGAGUUCAUAUCGACGGCGGUGUUUGGCACCUCGAUGUCGGCUCAUCACAUCCUGGGGCUGAAGUAGGUCCCAAGGGUAUGGCUGUUCGCCAUUUAAAGUGGUACGCGAGCUGGGUUUAGAACGUCGUGAGACAGUUCGGUCCCUAUCUGCCGUGGGCGCUGGAGAAUUGAGGGGGGCUGCUCCUAGUACGAGAGGACCGGAGUGGACGCAUCACUGGUGUUCGGGUUGUCAUGCCAAUGGCACUGCCCGGUAGCUAAAUGCGGAAGAGAUAAGUGCUGAAAGCAUCUAAGCACGAAACUUGCCCCGAGAUGAGUUCU